GUUUGGAUUCCUUUCUAGGGGUCCUCUCAUACUAGACGCAAAUGCCAAUUUUAUGGACGAAUCAUAGUAUAGAGUUGAUCGACUCCCGCGAGUCGACGUACCAUUCGAGCUUCUGCACUAUCAUCUCAGGUUGGUAGAGUAGUGGUCUACCAAGGAGUUUACGGUUAACGGAGGAUUAGGGUUCGACUCCGGAGAAUGAGCCUGAGAGACGACUCAUACAUCCAAGGAUGGCAGCAGGCGCGAAAAUUACCCAAUGUACUAAGUACGAGGUAGUGAC
Molecule: ribosomal RNA, 277 nt
Filed under: Weissella confusa
Lineage: Bacteria; Bacillati; Bacillota; Bacilli; Lactobacillales; Lactobacillaceae
Description: partial 16S ribosomal RNA
Rfam family: Eukaryotic small subunit ribosomal RNA
Source: RNAcentral